GGAUGUGAGGGCGAUCUGGCUGAGACAUCUGUCACCCCAUUGAUCGCCAGGGUUGAUUCGGCUGAUCUGGCUGGCUAGGCGGGUGUCCCCUUCCUCCCUCACCGUGUGCGUCCUUGUGCGUCCAUGUGCGUCCCUCCCGAAGCUGCGCGCUUAGUCGAAGAGGACGACCUUCACCGAUAGAGGAGAGGACCCAUCUUGGGUCAAGGGUAUACAGUAGCUGCGCUCCCCUGCUCGAACCUCCAAACAAGCUCUCAAGAUUUGCUUUGUUACGUGUGGUUGACUUCAGGAAGUUUGAAAGUCAAUUGCAUUUCUGUAUAACACUAAAAAUUAUAUAAAAAUGAUAUCAUUAUAGUACAUU
This 358-nucleotide small nuclear RNA is filed under the name Neogale vison (American mink). Its description in RNAcentral is "Neovison vison (American mink) 7SK RNA (ENSNVIG00000003329.1)". It matches the Rfam family "7SK RNA". Rfam says of the family: 7SK was discovered as an abundant small nuclear RNA in the mid-70s but a possible function has only recently been suggested. Two independent studies have found that 7SK RNA binds the CDK9/cyclin T complex (known as elongation factor P-TEFb). The record is from Rfam by way of RNAcentral. Lineage: Eukaryota; Metazoa; Chordata; Mammalia; Carnivora; Mustelidae.